This is a long non-coding RNA of Passer domesticus (house sparrow), 4784 nucleotides long. RefSeq lists it as uncharacterized. Lineage: Eukaryota; Metazoa; Chordata; Aves; Passeriformes; Passeridae. The record is from RefSeq and is a predicted model, not a curated record. The transcript is spliced from 9 exons.
UAGCUGAGUAGUUGGGAAGUCAAUUCUCCAUGAAGAUCAGAGUUAAAUCUGGAGUUGGAUCCUAGAAGUGGGACUUGAACUGAAUGUCUUAUGCUGUAUAACUUUAGUCUCCUGGUUCUUUUAAAAAGAACUUCUUUUUACUUUAAGGGAAAAAAAGGAAAUUUCAAAAGCUUCCAUAUUUGAGUGAAAUAUGCAUUCUAUUUUUUUUAAAUCCAUGCUGGAAAUCAAUGACUGUAGACCUAAGGCAGCUGCAACUGAGACCAGUCAGAACAGAUACAACUAGAUGAUCUGAGACCAAGUUACAGACAGGAUUAUAGAAAUGUUGAUCUAUAACCCUGAGGGAAAGAAGUGUUGGGGUUUUGUAUUUUGACUUCUUUACUGUGUGCUAGGAUUCACAAUAUUACACCAAGUCACCCUGAAUGAUUAAAGUCUGCCAUCCCUUUAAAGUAAUCAAUCUAGAAAAGCUGAAUGCAGGUUGACAGAUUAGCAUUAUUGAUUUCCUUCUGUGUGGCUGAGGAAACUGAAUUACCAUUAUGGCUCUUGCCCUAUUUAAACUCAGAUAUGUGGAGCUACACUAACAGGCUGCUAUGUAGACUUUUAUCUGUUGGUGACAACGUCUCUUUUUUGAUAUACAAAGGUAUCACAGACCUCAGAACAGACAUGGGGAAAAAAACCCCUUCAGGAUGAAAAUAAAAAGCUAAAAAAAAUAUUUAAAAGCUGCUCACACUUUGGACCUGAGCUCUGCAAGAUGGCAUUAGAACCCUGAUCAAAGGUACUGAUUACACUACUAGAAUUUAACAAAAUUUUUCAAGGGGGAUGAAUAUUUUUGGACAGCUAUAAAAGAAAGUAAUGACCAUGUGCCAUAUUUUUUGCACUUCUUAUUUUAUUUUUAUUGAUAUGUUUAUUUUUAGAUGAGACUUGAUCACAAUAUUCUCAUAAUUUGAAAAUCAUUUAAAAACUCCCAGAAGAAUAAUGAGCUGAAAAAUCAUUAACUUAUAGUGUGGAUUUAUUUCAGUCUUGGCUCUAAGCACCCCUAGACACGCAGGUGUAAGAAGAGGAGGAAAAAAUCUUGGAGGUGCUUGAAAAAAGGGAGGUGGGGAAAAGGGAACACAACCCCAAAUAAAUAAAAAAAUUAUAAAUAACUGUUUAUUUACCUGGGUGAUCAAGAAACAAAUUACAGUUUAUAUUAUACAUACAACACCCACUUUGUAUGGUAAUUAAGAGACCUGAUUCAAUACUCAGUGAGUUUAGAAAGAAAUUCUCAUAGCCAUGUAAAGGGAAUUGCAUCUAGACUCUUAGUACCUCUUUUGCACUUAUACUCUCAACAGAGUGUGUUGUGAGUGUUCACUCUGGAAUUUGUGGAAAGAAAACUUCUGAGAUGGAAUUUGUACAGUUCAAAGAAAUUGAAGCCCUUAUAACAUCAUGCAGUUGGAAAGUUAGGCCAGGACCUUUCUCGUGUGUUUAAAUGUUUAGAAACUUCUAAGUCAAUCACAUUUUUAUGAAGUUAUAUCCCAGUUUGUCUUGAAAGGGUCUAGCAACUAUUCUAGCAAUUAUAUGAAACUAUCUUUGUACAGUGCUGCAUUUUUUAGGCAAGAAAUGGAAGUAUGACACAGCUACUGUAUUAAAGCAAUCCUUUGAAUAUUUGUCCUCUUUUCAAGUAGCACUGAUUAUUUGAGAGGGAGAAAUAAGUAGUAUAGAGGUGUGGAUGAGAGAAGAAUCCUUAGAAGUCAAGACACUAAUUGAAAGGUUUCUCUGCCGAAGUAGCAGCUGAAUUAAGAAAAUCUAUGGAGAUUGCCUGGAUGCUGCUGGCCACCAGCUGAGCUGCUGCAGUUGGCAUCACUGCCACCCUGGGGAAAAAUAAAUGGCUUGAGAAUGAAAAGCAGAAAGGAAGAUACCACUGUGAAGAAUUCUAGACUGAGGGGAAAAGGCAGUUUAGCAAGCUCUCACAGGUUUUGAGGAAAAAAUGCAAUUAGACCUCAUCAUUUUGCUGCACCCUGUACCAAGUGGGAUUGCUGUUGUGGGACUAGAGUGAACACACCCAGUCUGAAAUGGAGAAAAGAUUUGCAGAAGACUUUGAAAACUCCUGCUGGUUGUGUUGCUGUCAAGGAGACAGGUAUUUAACAACAGAAACCAAGAAGUUUCAGUGCAGGUGCAGUUGUUGACUGCUGGAGUGCCCCUUGCUAUCCUGCUAGAUCCUGUACAGCAAACAUCUGGAAGGAUUUUAAAGUAUCAGUUCAGCAGCUUGUACACAUGAGCAAGAUGAUAUAUCGUGUGCACUCUGAAUAAUUCUAGGCAAAUAAAUAUUCAGAUAUCUUUGCAGAAAGGUGCUUCUGAGAGGAAGAGCACCUGGUGUCUGAAGUGACCACAGCUUUGUUGCCUUACUCUGGAUGCAUUUGAGCACCUUCACAUCCUCCUGAAAUGGUGGAGCCCAAAGCUGCACACAGAACUCCAGGAGGAUGUAAGCAAUAAUACAAACGGGGAGCCUUCCUGCCAUCACUGGGAAGUCAAGAAGUAUCAGAAGAGGCUGCAACUGAUACCAUGCACAAGUUUUCAGCCCCUGCUGAUGCUCUAUGAAAAAAGUGCACACCUGGACUCUGUAACACCUUGAAGGCCUCUGGGAGUGAUUGUGCCAUUUCAUCCAUGCUGCAAAUCUCUGGAGGUGAAAUCAAACUACAUCACAUCAAUGUACGGCCCUUAAUGCCUCAAGUUUAAAAGCAGCAAAUCAAGUGAAGACAGCAACAAAGAAAAGGCAGCAUACAUAACAGUUAAUUUGACUGUCACACCUAUACACGACUUGCAGGUCAUUGCAAUUUAAAUAUUGUGGGUCGUGCAUGGCUGAACAGCUGAAAAGCAUUCCAGAUGUGACUAAGAAGUGCUACUGAGUUCCAAAUGAUGUUUCAAGCUCAGCUCUCUCAGCGUAUGUUAGAAACAAAAGGAAGUAAAGCUCUGUAACUGAGACACAGCGGCCAUUCUCUACAUGCACCUAUUUCAGUGGGGUCUCAUGACCCCCUGAGUUCUGCAGCCUGGAGUUCCACAAUGAUAACAGAUCUUCGCGCUUUCUGCUGGUGAGAAUUCCAACUCCUUUGGGGAACAAGGAAAAUAAGUGGCCUUCUACCACUGGAAGAAGUGAUUCUAAACUGACUAAGGCCUGGCUGAGCUCUGGAAAAUGUAGCAAAAGAAGCUGUAUCCAUAUGCAUUCAUAACACAGUGUCCAGAAGACAACAUAAGGAAGAAAAUUUAACUGCACAAGGGACAGUGUCCCUUAUAUCCAAUUAUGUCCUUAUAUCCCAUAUCUCCAAUUUUAGUCCCUGGAAGUUACACAACCAGCAGAUGAAGGCUGUGCUACAGCAACACAAUUUAGCUGGAGAAUAAAUGCAUCGAGUUAUGCAGAUUGACACCACCUUGACCUUUUGCAUUUCCACAUAUUAGGCACUGGAUGAAGCAGUAAUACCACUGAAGUCAAACGCAAAAUUUAUGCAACUUCCAUGAGGACAGGUUUUAAACCAGGAGCUUUUGAAAUGGGAGAGCAUGAGUAAAGACAGUCUAUGUCCUUCACUGAGAGAAAUCUGUCUGUCCUGACUCCAAAGUGUGACCACUCUGCCAGGAAUGGAAACUACGUAAGUCUGGAAGAUUUUCAGAUUGAUAUUAAAAUUCAAGACAUCAACAUUUUUUUUCUCUAAGUGAACGCAAUAAUUAUGUACUUUGAAUGUGCUGAAAACAAAGUCAGUUAACAAAACCCAAAACUUAAUCCAGGACUACUAAUUUUCAAGAUCUCCCAGAGGUAUGUAGAAGUUUUUUUACCAUGAAAAGUAAUUCCCACUAGGCCAGAGUGGCUAUGAAUUUUCAUGGAAAGCUUUGUCAUUCUCAGCUAUGCAAAUGAAAUUCAGAUAACCCAUAGAGUCAGUCUACAGAACCCUAAAAUGCCUUAAGAACAGUUAGGAAUAAAAGAGACCUAACUGCCUGACGGUGAUGAUUACCAUGCCCUUCAGGUAAGUGUGCAUAAGGCAAUCUAAAAUUAUUCAGCUCUCAGGAGUGUGUGCUAAUCAGAGGUUCUGCUAAGCAGAACUAUUACCAGUCCUUUAAAAUAACCUCUAAAACAUUCCUACGAAACAUAGGAUAAGUCAUCAAGUUACUUUAUUUUAUGAAUCAUGAAACUGGAAAACAUGUAAUUGAAAAUGUGUUUAUUUGCCUCUAAUGCUUUUAGAGAAUGAUCCAUCCACAUUAUUCUGAAGCUGUCUCUUAAUUUUCUUUCCAUUUCCCCGUCUUUCAAAGCUCUACCCUGAUUCUCCUUUUGCUUUUCCCAUGUAAACGAAGAAUAGCUCUAAUGAUCUUAAGAGGAGCAUGUUAGUUUUAUGUUUUAACUCUUUUGUUGCAAACACCUGCUGAUUUGAAUUAUCCAUCAGUUCACAGAAUAUGAAUUGGAAGGGGCACAAGGAUCACCUAAGUCCAACUCCUGGCACUGCACAGGACUAUCCCCUAGAGUCACACCAUAUUGACACUGUUGUCCAAACAGUGAACUCUGUCAGGCUGGUGCUGUGACCAAUUCCCUGGGGAGCCUGUUCCAGUGUUCAGCCUCUCUCUGGGUGAAGAAUCUUUGUGUUAUAUCCAACGUAAACCUCCCUCGACACAAUUUCCUGUCAUUCCCUUGGGUCCUGCUGCUUGUCAUCAGAGAGGACAGAUUGGUACCUGCCUCUCAUCUUUUCCCAUGUGAAUAGACAGCUGUGAGGUCCCAUCUCAGUCUCCUUUUCUCCAGGGCAGCUGGCCUGUCUACAUUCUGUGUAAUC